GUCUACAGCCAUGUCACCCUGAACAAGCCCAAUCCCAUCUGAUCUCGGAAGCUAAGCUGGGUCGGGCCUGGUUAGUACUUGGAUAGGAGACCACCUAGGAAGACCGGGUGCUGUAAGCA
This 119-nucleotide ribosomal RNA is filed under the name Pteropus alecto (black flying fox). The record is from RNAcentral. Lineage: Eukaryota; Metazoa; Chordata; Mammalia; Chiroptera; Pteropodidae.